UGAAUUAUUAAUAAAUAUAUAGUUUAAAAAAAGUUCAAUUGAAAAAAAAAAUUGGUGUUUGAUAAGAAAGCAAAAAAACAAUUUUAUUAAUGCUCAAACUAAAAUAAAUAUUAUAAAUAUGUUUACAUUUAUAAUUAUAAUUUAAGAUAAAUAAAUAUUAUGGUAAAAAGCGGCAUAAGUAUCUAAAGUUUUAAGCUUGUAAGUGACAUAAACCUAAUGUUUAUUUUUAGCGGUAUAAGUACGCAAUGUUUAUUAUAAAACUGUAAUUUUUGUCUAAUUUUGUCAGUAUAGACUAUGUUAUUGUUUUAAACAGGGGACAUACAAGGCCUAAUUUCUAGGUCAUUUGAUCUGAGAAAAACAUGCAGUAUCAAUUACUUCUAAAUAUUCUUUUAAUAAAUUCAAAACGGGGUAUGUGAUGAAAAAAUUGAAAGAAAAUCACAAUUUUACAAAUAUUUGGUACUUAUACCGCUAAAAAUAAACAUCAAUUUAUGCCACUUACAAACUUAAAACGUUAGUUACUUAUGCCGCUAUUUAUCUUAAAUAUUAUAAUAAAGUCUAUUUUGGUCAUUUUAUAUUUAUUAUUAAAUAAGUUAUAUAAUUUACAAAACUUUCAAUAACUUUUCCUCACAACACUGCUGGAACUGUUUUCUCCCACAACACAGGUACAACUGUUUUUUUUUUUUUUCUCACAGUACAACUGUAUAUAUGACCACUCUUGGCGGGAUAGUAUGUGUAGGAAUAUUUUAUUCCUUCUUUACCCCUACACACAGCAAAAAUCUAAUCAAAAGCAAGGUCAAUUAAGACCUUUCUCUCCCAGUCAAAAGCUCCUUUUGACUCUCUGAUUUGAAUCCUCAAAAAUAGGGAAACGACAGCCCCUUUAAUUUACUUUUGGUCAUUUCAAUUUUAAAGCAAAAGAAACCCUAGUCUAUAACAUAUAUAUAUAUUAUCUUUAUCUCUUUUAUUUCACUCAGCACACACACACGGCAGCCCUAAAAUAAACCCUAGCAGAGAAACUAAAUGCCUCCUUCUUCUUCAAUGUUCUUCAAUGAAGAACAUGAAGAACAGCCACAAAACCCACUGCCCAGAAAAUAGAAAUAAACCCCUUCCUAAACCGAUUAUAACCCUAUAAAUCCCAAGCAGAAAAAUAACAAACACAGUAUAAAAUUGCAGAAAGUUUAAAGGAAAGAAUGCACCAGAUUUAUAGAGGUUCCCCAAAAAUUCUGGGUACGUCCUCUUGAGCUCGCCUCUUCCAAUAUAGAUCUUCAAUGAUCAAAGUUUACAAGGCUUGGAUUCCAACUCACAACACUUUGAGAGGUAAUCCGAAUAUAUAUGUAUAUAUACAGUGUUUUAUCUUCCUCUAUUUUCUUCUCUGUUUCUCUCAAAAAUUCAGAACUAACAAUAUUGUAUUUUCCUUCUUUGCAACAUGAACAACCCUUCCUGAGUUGUGGAUCUCCAAACCCUAACUAGGGUUUCAAGGCAAACCCACUAUUGUGCCUUGUUUGGCUCUGAUACCACUGUAGGAAUAUUUUAUUCCUUCUUUACCCCUACACACAGCAAAAAUCUAAUCAAAAGCAAGGUCAAUUAAGACCUUUCUCUCCCAGUCAAAAGCUCCUUUUGACUCUCUGAUUUGAAUCCUCAAAAAUAGGGAAACGACAAAAUUUCCUUUAAUUUACUUUUGGUCAUUUCAAUUUUAAAGCAAAAGAAACCCUAGUCUAUAACAUAUAUAUAUAUUAUCUUUAUCUCUUUUAUUUCACUCAGCACACACACACGGCAGCCCUAAAAUAAACCCUAGCAGAGAAACUAAAUGCCUCCUUCUUCUUCAAUGUUCUUCAAUGAAGAACAUGAAGAACAGCCACAAAACCCACUGCCCAGAAAAUAGAAAUAAACCCCUUCCUAAACCGAUUAUAACCCUAUAAAUCCCAAGCAGAAAAAUAACAAACACAGUAUAAAAUUGCAGAAAGUUUAAAGGAAAGAAUGCACCAGAUUUAUAGAGGUUCCCCAAAAAUUCUGGGUACGUCCUCUUGAGCUCGCCUCUUCCAAUAUAGAUCUUCAAUGAUCAAAGUUUACAAGGCUUGGAUUCCAACUCACAACACUUUGAGAGGUAAUCCGAAUAUAUAUGUAUAUAUACAGUGUUUUAUCUUCCUCUAUUUUCUUCUCUGUUUCUCUCAAAAAUUCAGAACUAACAAUAUUGUAUUUUCCUUCUUUGCAACAUGAACAACCCUUCCUGAGUUGUGGAUCUCCAAACCCUAACUAGGGUUUCAAGGCAAACCCACUGUAAGCCUCAACCACAAACUCCCCUGCUUUGUUGUUCUAUGUUUUUCUGAAGAAGAAUUUGGAUCUGUGUAAAAUCUUCAUUUUGUAUCUGAUCUGGUCUGUUGUAUUGUUCUCUCUUAAAAAUGUUGUUGAUUUUUGCCUUUUAUAUAUGUUGUAGAGGAAUACAGGAAAAGAGUUAAUAAUAAAGUUUUAAACAAACUUUAUUCAUUAACUUAUAAACCUGUCUAGGUAAAUAGAGGCCAGAGGCCACCUAGUAUUUUACUGCCUUGUAAUACUUUGUGUAAUAUUCUGAUUUUUACAGUGUGGUUAAUAUGGGGUUUACUUCAACAG
Molecule: long non-coding RNA, 2604 nt
Organism: Cannabis sativa
Lineage: Eukaryota; Viridiplantae; Streptophyta; Magnoliopsida; Rosales; Cannabaceae
Exons: 2
Source: RefSeq, a predicted model, not a curated record